GUGGAUUAGAUACCCUGGUAGUCCACGCCGUAAACGAUGAGAACUUGACGUCGGCCCGUUUUACGAGUCGGUGUCGCAGCUAACGCGAUAAGUUCUCCGCCUGGGGAGUACGGCCGCAAGGUUGAAACUCAAAGGAAUUGACGGGGGCCCGCACAAGCGGUGGAGUAUGUGGUUUAAUUCGAUGCAACGCGAAGAACCUUACCUGGUCUUGACAUCUACGGAAGUCUGCAGAGAUGCGGAUGUGCCUUCGGGAGCCGUAAGACAGGUGCUGCACGGUCGUCGCCAACU
Molecule: ribosomal RNA, 288 nt
Filed under: uncultured bacterium
Lineage: Bacteria
Description: partial 16S ribosomal RNA
Rfam family: Bacterial small subunit ribosomal RNA
Source: RNAcentral